UCAAAACCCUAGAUUAGCUCCUCCAUAAGCCCACUAGCUAUAACCUCGUCCUCCUACUUCUUCCUCCUGCUGCAAAACCCCUACCUCUCUCUCGCACGCGCUCAAAACGCACGCCGGCACACCAUUAUCCUACAAUGGCGGACGUGGUACAGUUCAAGCUGGAGCGUAUGCUCGACGAGCUAGAUGACUUGGAGCGACGCGGCUUGUUUAGCCGCCGUGAGAUAGCAGAGAUAGUCAAGCAGCGUCGCAAGUUUGAGUAUAGGCUCAAGCGGCCAAGCCCACUGAAGCAGGAUUUUUUAGCCUAUAUUGACUAUGAAAAACAACUCGAUGCCCUCCGCCUCCUCCGGAAAAAAUCCCUUUCAAAGAAUUCCGGCAACAAGAAAACGAAAAAAUCCGUCUCAGAUUACGCUGGUGUUUCUAGGAUUAUAGAAAUUUACAGACUCGCGACAAUCCGAUUCAAAAGUGAUAUUCAGCUCUGGUUCCAGUACUUGGAAUUCUGUAAAGCACGGGGGCACGGUAGGAUGAAAAAGGUGAUCUUUACAUUAUGAAUCUAUAUAUAUAUAUAUAUAUAUAUAUAUAUAUCAAGCAAUCUAUAUGCAAGCAUUAGUUACUUCAAAGCACCCCUCAUCAGAUGAAAUGUCGUUUAUUCCACCCCCUCCUUCAAGCCUCAACUUCCAAUACAUAAUUUUUAAAUUUGCCUUUCAGUUCACUUCAGCCAAGAUUCACUGUUUUUGGUCUCUAUUUUUUAUUUUCUAAUAUAAAUUUGUGUAAUUUUAUUUUAAUUUUGACGAACAAUACUUGGUUUGAUUAUUGACACUGUAUAAAGUUAACUGCUCAUUUAAUCUCGUUUCUUUAUAUUCUGAUUUUAAUCUUCUUCCUAUUGAAUUCACGCUUAUGGUCAUUAUAUUGGUAAAAAUAUGAUUAGUUUACCUUAAAAUUUUAAUUUCCUGUUUAUUGGUUGGAAAGAAAAAAAUAAGAUUAUUCAACUAUAGCACAUUUGAAGUUGAAUACGAGGAAAUAGCAAAGUAUUGGUAUAAUAAUUAAAUUUUAAUUGAUAUGAAUCCUAGCAAAGAGUUAGAAGGAUUGUAAGGCCUUGGUUAUCUUGCAUAAAAGUUCUUUGUGACAAAAAAGAAAAAGUAUACCGAUUAUUUUAAAUGUUUUGAUUUUGCCAUUUUGGUAUUAAAAUUUUUCAGUGCUACUCUUUAUGUAGAGACUAUUGCCUAUUAUCAAUUUUGUGAAUAAUCGACUGCACAAUCAAAUUAUAAAUCAAUAGAAGAAUAACAGUUUGGUAGCGCUAUAUUGAUAACGAGGUUAUUAAAAAACCUUUCAAAUUAUGAGAAACUAUAUGGAACAAUUGUAAUAUAUAAUAAAAACGUAUUAUAACAUUUUUACCUUGUAUAAUUGUCUGGUUCUAAUUUUACUAAGUCAUUGCCCUCACUGGAAUAGAAUCCUGGAUCCGCCUGCGAUCACUCUUUUUUAUUCAUUUUGUUUAGUGGAACUGAAAUUAUUCUUUUGUUGCCUUUUAUUAUUAGAAUUAGGUUAAUGAAUUUGUAAUGAUGGAUUAAUAUGGAUCUAAUAUUUGAGGGUUGAGGUGCAGUGAAUCAAUGCAGUUUCAGAGCUGUACCUAGCUCUGGAAAUGGAUGUAGUACAUAACCUGGAUUCAACUUAAACUAGUAAAAUAUUUUUGUUGUCUGUCCAACAUUAUAUAGAGAUUCCUUAUAUUUUGAUGUUAUCUUAUGUAGGCUUUAGCCCAAGUAAUUAGGUUUCAUCCAAAAUUGCCCGGCGUUUGGAUUUAUGCUGCUGCUUGGGAAUUCGACCACAACCUGAAUGUCACAGCUGCUCGUGCUCUUAUGCAAAGUGGUUUGAGAGCAUGCCCGACUUCUGAGGAUCUUUGGGUAGAGUAUCUUCGCAUGGAACUUACAUACCUUAACAAAUUAAAAGCUCGAAAGGUUGCUUUAGGGGAGGAUGAAAGAACCCCGACUAAGGAUACUUGUGAUGCUGAUGAGGAACGGUGGAGAGAUGAGAACAAUGAAUUAUUUAUGGCCCUUGAUGAGAGGAAAGAUGAUAGUAAGACAUCUGGUGUCCAAGAUGGUGAGUCUGAGGAGAAGGUAGACGUCCUCAGGGAACAUGGUUUAAAUGUUCUUCAUACUGUUUAUAAUAGUGCAAUUGAAGCUCUACCUUCUAGUUUCACCCUGAGAACGAAGUUCAUUCAGAUACUGGAAGCAACAAACUUAACCCAUUCAGAAGAUAUGCGAAAUGAGAUACUUAAUGACAUGAAAAAAGAUUUCUUGCGAGAACCGAAAUACUGGGAUUGGCUUGCAAGACUUGAAACAGCUGACUUUAAAGAAAUUAAACAAAAGCAAUUAAGCAAAGCAAUUCAGGUAUAUCUUGUACAUAAUCUUUUAUUACUUUUGUUAUAUAUCAUUGUGUGUACAAAACUUGUAUGGACAUUUGAUCUUUAGUCAACUGAUGAUGUACUGAGACGGAUACUGGAGAGCACGUGAUAGUUUGUGUGACAUGUUCGUGAUUAAAAGAAAUAAGAAUUUGGUAAUAAGUAGCAAUUACGUCUGACUGGUUAGUCUAUUUCUUCAUUAUUCAAGUUAUGAAAUUAUUAUUAUUAUUAUUAUUUUAGUUGAUUAUUCCACCUUGGUGUCUAAUAUGGAUCUUGAGGUUUAGACAUAAAAUCUCAUGCAUUUACAAUAAAGACUAGCAUGGGCUCAAAUUUUGGAAAGAUGAAUCUUCUUGUGUGAGAAUGUUUCCUUCUGGGUUUCAAUACAUUUGAUGUGUCCUCUUAGGAUUUGUUAGAGUCAUUAUCCGGGAGCCUUCUUUUGGUUAUCUUAAGCUAGAGAUGUUUAGUGCUCAUUCUUAGCACUACCUCAACUUCACAUUGAAUAAUGCUAAAUUGGCAUGAGGGAUCUGGAUCAUCUCUUUAUUAAUUUUACAUUCGAUAUCUUCCCUGUUCUAUCAACAUAUGAAACUCACCUUGCAUAUUUUCUCACAUACAGGUUUAUGAGGAGAGUUUGGAAACUGUGCCAUCAGCUACAAUGUUCAAUCUAUAUGUUAAGUUUCUCAUGGAUGCAAUUAAAAAUGAAAAUGGUGAUAAAAUGUCUGCUGUUCACUCCUGGUCAUCUGCUCAUUCUCUUCAUCCUAUUUCACGUCUUCAAAUAGUAUUUGAGAAGGCCGAAAGUCUUGGUUGCAUUACUGAAGAUCUUGCUUGUCAGCAUGUUUCAUUUUUGUUGCAACUGGGAAAAUCUGAGGAAGCUAAAGUGCUGAUACGAAAGCUUUGUAAUGGAAAAUUUUCACAUGCAGUGCAUUUAUGGACUUUGUGUCUCUCAAUGGAAAUGAGAAACAUUCAAAACAAAUUGCCUUUUACUAGCAAGGCUGAUCUAUCAUCCAUCUUUACACUCCUAAUUGAUGUUCUGAAGAAAGUGAGCAUUUCAGAAGCUGAAAAUCUGUGGCUAAUGGUAUGCAGAACUUUUCAUUGCUUUCUUCUGUCAAAAUUAUGUUCAUAUGCUUACAAAUAAUUGAUGCACGGUGUUCUAUCCAGUUUAUGUGUUCAGGCUCUAGCUUGGGAUACUUUCAUGGCUGCUUUCAUUAUCAUUAUUUAUAUUAAAAUUAUUUAUCAAUUUUAUUUCAGAUGGGAUUUGGAUUGAGGAUGGGGGGAUUGGUGAGGUGGUUAAAUUGGUUCUUCCAAGCCAAAAUUUCUGGAUUUCGUUUUAUCAACAUUGAGGCGUCUGCCAAUUGUUAUUCAGAAAUUUUAUUUUUAUUUAAUUGCUUAUAAACCCAUGUUUCUGAAAAAUCUUUAACUUAUAUAUGAAUGUCGCUAGAAUGGAUGGUAUAAAUUAUUGAAAAUGUUGCAGCAAAGUGCAUUCUUUAAUUUGAGGGGCAACUUUUGGAGUCAUUUACGUUUCUCCAUUUGCAGGGGCUAAAGUAUUUUGCAAACCAAAGACAUCAUUUUGACAAGCUGGUGGAGACUUCUAUUGUUUUAUUGGCCAAAGAUGGUGGAAGUGAUAGUGGAUUUUCUCUCUCUUCGGCCAUUGUAAAUUUUGUUCUUCAGAGGGACGGAGCAAAGGCUGCAAGAGAAAUUUAUAGACGGUGGGUUGCUGAAUUAUAAAUUUUUAAGCAUCUUAUGUUGUGAUAUAUGUACAGAGCAACCAUUUCGGGGUUAUCUAACAUUCUACCCUGUGCAAGUGCAGAUUUCUUACUUUACCUCAUCCAGGACUUGCUAUGUAUAGAAAUUGCAUUGAGCUGGAAUUGAACCUCACCUCUGCUGGGGACAAGAGUUGUCUACAAAAUGCUCGGAAAUUGUAUGAAUCUGCACUUUCAACUUAUAGUCAAGAUGCACGCUUGUGGCAAGACUAUUAUUCGAUGGAAAUCAAGGUAAUUCUUGUUCUCUCUCGUCUCAGGUUCAUGGUACAAAUCAUAUAGAUGUGAAGCAAUUAGCAAAAGAAUAGAGACCUGCAUUAGAUGCCAUACCAUAAUCAUGUUACUUCUAUUUUGUUCUUGGAAUAAAAACAAACAACCAAUAAUACAAGUAAAAAUAUUAAGUUAAUCAUUUUCAAGCCUCUGAAACCUCUACGGGCAUGCUACCCCACAGAAAUUCAUCAAUGCUUCAGUUAUCGGGUAAUCACUCUCAAGCACCAAUUUAAUUGGAAGCCCGUGAACUACCUUACCUGUCUGUUGAAGGGAACCAUCCAUCUUUAGGAAAAGUGUCUUUCAGUAGCUCUGUGAUGUACUCUUUUGUUGAAUUUCUAAAAUUCUACUUUCUGGUGGAUAGAGGUAUUACUCUCAUCUAGUUUCUAGUUUAUUAUGCUCUUUCAUACCGUUCAUUUCGACUAUUUUUCAGAUGGGGACGUCUGAAACAGCUGCAGCUGUCCAUUGGCGUUCUAGGAAAGUGCUCAAAAACUGCGAUUCACUUGUUCCUUCUACAACCAUGUGAUGGAUUUAUGCUAAUCACUUUUGAGCAUGUACAUUUUUUUUUUUUUUUUGAUCAAAACCUGUUUUAAUUUAUUUGUUGAUGACCCAGGGACCAUGUAAUGUGAACUAAUUUUUUUUGUGGGAGAUUUUGUCCAUGUGAUCAUCCCAUCAUAUGUAAUUUCUUAUUUUGUCCAUUUUCUUUUAUAGUAGAAUAUGUAUUAUUUAUAAAAUAGGCUACCGUUAACUGUCUUGUACGGCCAUUUUCCAAGUUUUUAUUUUGAAAAUUUUGGUAGCUAUUUUUAUUACAACGUAGCUCAUUUAGAGAUGUAAAGUAGGUUGACCUAAGGUGUUUGGUCCAUGCUUUCUUGACCUAGAAUGAGAAUUUUUUCUUAAUGCUUUUGAUUGUUGGGAUCAAUUGUUUUUUAAACAAAUUUGAA
Molecule: long non-coding RNA, 5354 nt
Filed under: Olea europaea subsp. europaea
Lineage: Eukaryota; Viridiplantae; Streptophyta; Magnoliopsida; Lamiales; Oleaceae
Source: RNAcentral